AUUACAGCCCCCUCCCCUAAAUCCACAACCCCCACCCAACAACCCAGCAGGAAGUGGGGGAGGAGGCCUUUGUGACUCAAAUAACUUAGGCAAGAAAAACUGUCAGGGGAUCCCCGGCUCGCGGCCCCCAGGAGGCUGAGGUCGGAUGGCCAGCCCGCCCCGGCGUCGCGCGAACGGGGGACAGGGAAGCGAAGACCAGCCCGGUGUUAUCUGUUCAACGUCCUGGCGCCGAGGCCACCGUUGUGACUGGAAGGCGGAGUCCUAACCUCAGCUGCCACCGUUUCCCCAGUGAGCACCAGCUGUGUACCCGACCCUGGGCUGGCACCCUUCCACUGUACAGAGUCCACACCCCAGCGACAGCCCACACUGAUGUGGCAAGUGCGGAUGGCCACCUCCACCCACGUGUAUGGUUGUUCCACGGCCCUGAAAGCAGUGAAAAUGCUGGAACCAUUUCGCAGAUGAGAAACCAAGGGCUCCCCGGCUGUGGGACAUUUACAACAAAGAACACAGGGAAACAACAAUAAUGGCCAGAGCAGGCGAGUGGCCGAGUGAGUAAGGAAGACAGCUGGCCACCCCACACCAGCCCCGAGCACACGCUUCCCAGGGCUUCGUGAGGCGGCCAGCAUCGACGUGCCAGAAAGCUAAGUGGAAUGAGGAGAGCAACACGUUACAUGACCGCUGGACAACCGGCUACAUUAGAUUAUGCACAGUGGAUAAUGGUAUUGUCUCGGUGCUAAAUUUGCUGAAUUCAAUAACUCUGCUAUGGUCAAGUAGGAGAACGUUCUUGAUCUCAGAGGCUGAGACAUUAAGGAGUAAAGGAGCAGAAUAUCUGCAAUCUACUCUCAAGCGAUUUCGAAUAAAAAUGUAUGCAUA
Molecule: long non-coding RNA, 873 nt
Organism: Canis lupus familiaris (dog)
Lineage: Eukaryota; Metazoa; Chordata; Mammalia; Carnivora; Canidae
Exons: 3
Source: RefSeq, a predicted model, not a curated record